This 85-nucleotide non-coding RNA is filed under the name bovine gut metagenome. RNAcentral describes it as "Cyclic di-GMP-I riboswitch". It matches the Rfam family "c-di-GMP-I riboswitch aptamer", at positions 8 to 83 of the family's 87-position model. Rfam says of the family: GEMM was predicted in a large-scale screen for bacterial structured RNA regulatory elements. Genes associated with GEMM are involved in a diverse array of functions, including chemotaxis regulation, signal transduction, secretion and chitin. The record is from RNAcentral.
AAAGGCAAAGUAAACGAAAGUUUAUGACGCAAAGCUAUAGGGUCUAACACACUUACAAAAAUUAAGUGCCAUGACAGCCAGUUGC